GACGUAGGGGACGAGCGUUGUCCGGAUUCAUUGGGCGUAAAGCGCGCGUAGGCGGCCACGCAAGUCGGGUGUGAAAUCCCGGAGCUCAACUCCGGAACUGCACUCGAAACUGCGCGGCUUGGGGUAGGUAGGGGAGAUCGGAAUUCCUGGUGUAGCGGUGGAAUGCGCAGAUAUCAGGAGUAACACCGGUGGCGAAGGCGGAUCUCUGGGCCUUACCUGACGCUGAGGAGCGAAAGCCAGGGGAGCAAACGGG
This 253-nucleotide ribosomal RNA is filed under the name uncultured bacterium. RNAcentral describes it as "partial 16S ribosomal RNA". It matches the Rfam family "Bacterial small subunit ribosomal RNA", at positions 524 to 776 of the family's 1533-position model. The record is from RNAcentral.